AGAGUUUGGUGAGACGUAUGGUCAGAGAUGAAAAUGGUACACAUUUUGAUCGGCCCUCCCCAGUCUAUGAUCAGAAAGAAUUUGUACCGCUGGAAGUAAAAUCUGGUGCUUUGGUGGUUAUACAUGGAGAUCUUAUACAUCAGAGUUUUGAGAACCUUUCUCCAGCGUCAAGACAUGCAUUCAGCUUAUGGAUACUGAAGGAUGUAAAUGGUCCGAAGACAACUGGCGCAAGCAAGCUACGCCUACAAAAGAAGCAUCUGCUCUUUACGCUGCUCAGUCUCAUCUCGUGCAAGGCGAAAGAUUUCUCAUUCCGGUGUGGUGGCCCAAUCCCUUCUACGUGAUUACAAAGGGCAGCUUCAUUUCAUCCCUAGACUGUUGUCGUCCCAAUUUCUUGCCCCACCCUUCAUCUUAGUUUCUUGCUCGCUUCAGCCCUUUUUCUAUGUGACACACCCUAUGGUCCAUUCACCUUUGCGUUGUGCAGGAUUACUUCAGUAGAUUUUGGUUCAAUAGAAUUUGCGUGUCUUAGUAUAUUUUGCUUCCAUAAUGAUCUAUAAAGUUGGGACUCAUCCUCUCAAUUCUACUUAAUGUGCUAUUCAUGACUUUUCAGAUUCUUAGGUCGGUGCUAGUUCGCUCAAUGCUCAUACCUCACUACUGGCAAGGGAUAAGAGUUGGGUGAAGAGCUUGGAAAGACUCAGCCACUCAGAUGGCAAAGACAGAAUAGAAGAUGGGAACAGGUCGAUGGUACAAAGGUUUAGAUCUCAACUGACCCAUCAGAUGGAUGCCUUGCAUAAAACCGUAUCAAGUUCUGUUGCAGUUCUAUCAUGCAACAGAAGGACCACCUUAAUGAAAUGAAACAUGAAAGUGGUUAGAGCCGAAGGUCUUGUUGAAAGGACCAUCUUCUUUUGUGUUGUAACAACUAUAUAUUCUUCACGGGUAUCUUUCAGUUAUAACAACUAAUCACUGCUUACAUAUGGCAAAGACAGAAUAGAAGAUGGGAACAGGUCGAUGGUACAAAGGUUUAGAUCUCAACUGACCCAUCUCAAACGGAGAGGAAUUUCGAAUUGUGGCAGGUGCUGCCUCCACCUGGUAACGGUGGGCUGAAAUACUAUGGUUGUGAGCAGUAAAUUCGACCAAAUCAUCUGCUCCACAGAAGCCAUCAGCGCCUCGACCGGACAGUGACAUAGGUGA
Long non-coding RNA from Zea mays, 1188 nucleotides. RefSeq lists it as uncharacterized. Lineage: Eukaryota; Viridiplantae; Streptophyta; Magnoliopsida; Poales; Poaceae. The transcript has 8 exons. The record is from RefSeq and is a predicted model, not a curated record.